Molecule: ribosomal RNA, 486 nt
Filed under: uncultured bacterium
Lineage: Bacteria
Description: partial 16S ribosomal RNA
Rfam family: Bacterial small subunit ribosomal RNA
Source: RNAcentral
AUUGAACGCUGGCGGCAUGCCUUACACAUGCAAGUCGAACGGCAGCACGGGUGCUUGCACCUGGUGGCGAGUGGCGAACGGGUGAGUAAUACAUCGGAACAUGUCCUGUAGUGGGGGAUAGCCCGGCGAAAGCCGGAUUAAUACCGCAUACGAUCUACGGAUGAAAGCGGGGGACCUUCGGGCCUCGCGCUAUAGGGUUGGCCGAUGGCUGAUUAGCUAGUUGGUGGGGUAAAGGCCUACCAAGGCGACGAUCAGUAGCUGGUCUGAGAGGACGACCAGCCACACUGGGACUGAGACACGGCCCAGACUCCUACGGGAGGCAGCAGUGGGGAAUUUUGGACAAUGGGCGAAAGCCUGAUCCAGCAAUGCCGCGUGUGUGAAGAAGGCCUUCGGGUUGUAAAGCACUUUUGUCCGGAAAGAAAUCCUUGGCCUUAAUACGGUCGGGGGAUGACGGUACCGGAAGAAUAAGCACCGGCUAACUACGUG